UAGGGAAUCUUCGGCAAUGGGGGCAACCCUGACCGAGCAACGCCGCGUGAGUGAAGAAGGUUUUCGGAUCGUAAAGCUCUGUUGUAAGAGAAGAACGUGUGUGAGAGUGGAAAGUUCACACAGUGACGGUAACUUACCAGAAAGGGACGGCUAACUACGUGCCAGCAGCCGCGGUAAUACGUAGGUCCCGAGCGUUGUCCGGAUUUAUUGGGCGUAAAGCGAGCGCAGGCGGUUUAUUAAGUCUGAAGUUAAAGGCAGUGGCUUAACCAUUGUUCGCUUUGGAAACUGUUAAACUUGAGUGCAGAAGGGGAGCGUGGAAUUCCAUGUGUAGCAGUGAAAUGCGUAGAUAUAUGGAGGAACACCGGUGGCGAAAGCGGCUCUCUGGUCUGUAACUGACGCUGAGGCUCGAAAGCGUGGGGAGCAAACAGG
RNAcentral lists this ribosomal RNA (429 nucleotides) under bacterium. RNAcentral's name for it is "partial 16S ribosomal RNA". It matches the Rfam family "Bacterial small subunit ribosomal RNA", at positions 355 to 776 of the family's 1533-position model. The record is from RNAcentral.